CAAUAGCGUAUAUUAAAGUUGUUGCAGUUAAAAAGCUCGUAGUUGAACCUUGGGCUUGGCUGGCCGGUCCAUCUUUUUUGAUGCGUACUGGACCCAGCCGAGCCUUUCCUUCUGGCUAGCCUUUUGGCGAACCAGGACUUUUACUUUGAAAAAAUUAGAGUGUUCAAAGCAGGCCUUUGCUCGAAUAUAUUAGCAUGGAAUAAUAGAAUAGGACGUUAUGGUUCUAUUUUGUUGGUUUCUAGGACCAUCGUAAUGAUUAAUAGGGACGGUCGGGGGUAUCAGUAUUCAGUUGUCAGAGGUGAAAUUCUUGGGUUUACUGAAGACUAACUACUGCGAAAGCAUUUACCAAGGACGUUUUCAUUAA
Molecule: ribosomal RNA, 364 nt
Filed under: uncultured eukaryote
Lineage: Eukaryota
Description: partial 18S ribosomal RNA
Rfam family: Eukaryotic small subunit ribosomal RNA
Source: RNAcentral